Molecule: ribosomal RNA, 562 nt
Filed under: Aspergillus niger
Lineage: Eukaryota; Fungi; Ascomycota; Eurotiomycetes; Eurotiales; Aspergillaceae
Description: eukaryotic LSU rRNA
Rfam family: 5.8S ribosomal RNA (bases 197-350)
Source: RNAcentral
AAGGAUCAUUACCGAGUGCGGGUCCUUUGGGCCAACCUCCCAUCCGUGUCUAUUGUACCCUGUUGCUUCGGCGGGCCCGCCGCUUGUCGGCCGCCGGGGGGGCGCCUCUGCCCCCCGGGCCCGUGCCCGCCGGAGACCCCAACACGAACACUGUCUGAAAGCCUGCAGUCUGAGUUGAUUGAAUGCAAUCAGUUAAAACUUUCAACAAUGGAUCUCUUGGUUCCGGCAUCGAUGAAGAACGCAGCGAAAUGCGAUAACUAAUGUGAAUUGCAGAAUUCAGUGAAUCAUCGAGUCUUUGAACGCACAUUGCGCCCCCUGGUAUUCCGGGGGGCAUGCCUGUCCGAGCGUCAUUGCUGCCCUCAAGCCCGGCUUGUGUGUUGGGUCGCCGUCCCCCUCUCCGGGGGGACGGGCCCGAAAGGCAGCGGCGGCACCGCGUCCGAUCCUCGAGCGUAUGGGGCUUUGUCACAUGCUCUGUAGGAUUGGCCGGCGCCUGCCGACGUUUUCCAACCAUUCUUUCCAGGUUGACCUCGGAUCAGGUAGGGAUACCAUCGCUGGAACUUAA